RNAcentral lists this ribosomal RNA (301 nucleotides) under uncultured bacterium. RNAcentral's name for it is "partial 16S ribosomal RNA". It matches the Rfam family "Bacterial small subunit ribosomal RNA", at positions 509 to 807 of the family's 1533-position model. The record is from RNAcentral.
CAGUCGCCGCGGGAAUACGUAGGUGGCAAGCGUUGUCCGGAAUUAUUGGGCGUAAAGCGCGCGCAGGCGGUUUCUUAAGUCUGAUGUGAAAGCCCCCGGCUCAACCGGGGAGGGUCAUUGGAAACUGGGAAACUUGAGUGCAGAAGAGGAGAGUGGAACUCCACGUGUAGCGGUGAAAUGCGUAGAGAUGUGGAGGAACACCAGUGGCGAAGGCGACUCUCUGGUCUGUAACUGACGCUGAGGAGCGAAAGCGUGGGGAGCGAACAGGAUUAGAUACCCCAGUAGUCCCUGUCUCUUAUAC